CACAAACGUUAGCUGGUCGCCCACCCCCCAGAUGUCAAAGGGAAAAAAAACUAGCCCACUCUCCCGGUCCGUUCCUCUCUCCCUCCGGCUCCGGUGCUUCACAUCUCGUCAUUGCGGCAGAGGCAGCGGCAGCGACGGCACCGCACGGACGACCCGGCGGCGAGGACUACCUCUCUCGCGCGUGGAGUAGCUCCCUUUCCUCUCUCAUGCGGUAGCAACUGAGGCGCUAUGGGCGGUGCAAGAUCCGGGCGAGCUCGGUAGGACAACGGCGUUCUCCGGCGUCCCUCUCCAGUGUCGACGGUAUUAUCGCCAGGUUAUUGGUUUUUGGGAGCAGUGUGGGGAAAGAGGAAGAAGACCAAGAAAGGAAAGGAAAAUGAGAAGCUCGGGUGAUGGAGGUAAUUCUGGAGAAGAGCUCCUGGUGGUGGGAUCAAUUCAGGGAGGAGGUGGAUAUCAUAGCGGAGGAGAUGAAGGGCGUGUCGAUGACAUAGAAGAAGAGGAGGAGCUUAAGGCUGCGGAGAAAAAGGAACAACAGCAGAGUAUCAGACUUCGAUCUAGCUGAGGCAAACCAAUAAUUGAAAUUCUGCCAAGAAAUCUAGGAGCAGAAGAAGAUGUAUGCAAGGGACUUGGAGACAAGGCAAUGGUGCGCAGGCGGGAAAAUUAUUGUUCUAAUUGGUUUUGAAGCUUUGGGUGCCUGCGGCCGGCUCAACAGGUGGCAUCAGCAAGCGCCGGCCGGCCUUGGCACUACUGCGGGUGGUUAUAUGGUGCGCGGAGCACACCAGUGGGCUUCAACGUCGGGGUACAGUGGCGAGCUAAAUCCUGAGUCCAGCUAGGCUUUUUUUGGUUCAGGUUUUGUUACUGUUUUCCAUUCGGGAUUUUGUGGUUGCCAAACCUAGCAUUUGCAGCUGUUUGUUUCAGAAAUUCAUGUCCCAACAUCAAAUUUUGAUAUGUAAGGAAAUCCUGCCAACAAAUCGAUGUUAUGGGCUUACUAGUCAGAUGAAUACUUUCUAUUUUAUUCAGGGAUACAUUCAGCAUGCUUGUGAGGUACACAUUUUUCAGGUCCAGUUAGAAGUGUUUGCUUGAUUUGUCGCCCAAGUUUCAUAUUCUAAUGAUGCUCCUUCACUUCAAUACAGCGUUGGCAUGUAGGAUGAAUAGCUAUGCAAAUUAUCAUGCACAAAUUAAAAAAAUAGCUUCGCUCUUCUUCUGCAUGUCUCCAAGGCAUAAUUUCUGAUCUAUCAUGAGAUAAUGAUUAUUUCUUCUUCUUUCUUAUCAUGCGGCUAGUUGCUAUGAAAAUUUAACACAUACAUCAGCCUUUUGUCAUUGAAACAAAAUCAUAUCUGCCAAGUUUCUACAUUCCGUCGAAGCUUGCAGAUUUACCAUCUAAGUUGGCACAUUUAUUGAAAGAAACCGUAACCAUGGAUUUUAUAUGGAAGAUCGACAUAUCAUCUUUACAUUAGAUUCAUGUAUACUGUAAGGAAUUGAUUUUGUUCAUCUUCAUUCCAUUUUCCUAUCUUGCAAAGAUGUCCAUUCAAGUAUGAUCAAUUUCUACUCUGUGACUUAAUACAUUUGUAACACUGGCAUAGUGCCAUUGACAUGCUUUUCUUUUUCGUCCCGUUUAAUAUUGAUUCAUCUACAUGGUUAUAUGCAUGCCUUUGCAUACAUUAGUUAUCCAGUCUGCUAUUGAUCAUCUCCAUUUUUCAUCCCGGCAGUACGCUGAUAGCUUAUCCAGUCGGCUAUUGAUCAUUUCCAUUUUUCACCCCAGCAGUAUGCCGAUAGCUAUAAUUGAGUCAAUAGUUCCAAAAUGUUGCUUCAUAAUUAUUUGUCUAUUUGGGCAGCACAUGGAUGGCUUUGGUGGGUGUCAUGGCCUUUCCAUUCUGAAUUGAAGUUGGUCUGAAAAUGUCAAACUCUGCCAUGGAACACAAAAGAUAUAACUUACCUUCAUAUGGUUGAUUCUUCUUAGUCUUCCUUUUGUGAAGCUUUGUAGCAAUCUUCCUUUUCCUAUCUGUAAUUCGAUUUUCUUAGGAAUACUCUCCAUUUUCUUAGGAACACGACGUUGUUUCGAUGCCUCCAAAUGCAACAGCAACAGAGCAGGAAGAAUAUCGAUGGCAAGGUGAGCGACAUCUGGCAGAUUGUGAACAGAGGCCACGGAAGGUGGCUGGAACCCCAACAUGGCCCCAAAAUCAACCACCAACGGGCAGGCGGAGAGGAGGUGACUCGCCGACCGCAGUGGGGCAUGGCGGAGUGGGCAACUAUUCCACGCUCUAAAAUUCAGGUUUAUAGCAAUGAAAAAGGUGAUUUUGUUCCUCAAUCAUGCUUAACAUUUCUUUAGCAAACAAGCACUAGCAGCCCGUUUUCAGAUGUGCUUCUUGUUGGUUCAUGUAGACAUGCCAAUGAAGGCCUGGUAAAGAAAAACAGAAAAAAUACAGUAUAUUGGUUUAAUUGUUCUCUUGUGUAGACCAAAAUUAGCGAGUAAAGGAAAUAUGAUUUUGCUUCCAAAUUCUUUCUGCGAGCAUAUCCCAGGAAUAAUGUUUUGUUCCUAUUUGAGUUGGAACGUGUGACUUCCGGAGGCUACUCUUCCAUCCGAUGUUGUUCAACAGCUCUCAAAGGCACAGAGCAAAUCAGUCGGGCUUUGACCAGAUGUCCAUCUCCAGAACCUUGAUUCCUAAUCCUACAGAGCUCUAUUCUGGCAAGUAGUACAUGUAAUUAGUUCUUGGAGGGUAUGCAGAUUGAAUUGCUAUAUUGCAGUCUGGACUACUACAAUUUGUUGAUAACCAUGGUCUGGAUGUAGAUAAUUUUGAGACAGCAUACUUCUUUCCGUGUGCAUAUAGGCUACUCUUCCAUCCGAUGUUGUUGUUCAACAGCUCUCAAAGGCACAGAGCAAAUCAGUCAGGCUUUAACCAGAUGUCCAUCUCCAGAACCUUGAUUCCUAAUCCUACAGAGCUCUAUUCUGGCAAGUAGUACAUGUAAUUAGUUCUUGGAGGGUAUGCAGAUUGAAUUGCUAUAUUGCAGUCUGGACUACUACAAUUUGUUGAUAACCAUGGUCUGGAUGUAGAUAAUUUUGAGACAGCAUACUUCUUUCCAUGUGCAUAUAGGCUACUCUUCCAUCCGAUGUUGUUGUUCAACAGCUCUCAAAGGCACAGAGCAAAUCAGUCAGGCUUUGACCAGAUGUCCAUCUCCAGAACCUUGAUUCCUAAUCCUACAGAGCUCUAUUCUGGCAAGUAGUACAUGUAAUUAGUUCUUGGAGGGUAUGCAGAUUGAAUUGCUAUAUUGCAGUCUGGACUACUACAAUUUGUUGAUAACCAUGGUCUGGAUGUAGAUAAUUUUGAGACAGCAUACUUCUUUUCGUGUGCAUAUAGGCUUUAUGGGAUUAGUCUCUCUAUCAUCAGUUCUUCCAGUAUUUGAUUCAACCCUCUUAAAUUCUAAUUUAAGCAAUUUAUCAAUCCAUCUCAUGGGAGAAGAUCUGUGUUUGGUUCAGUCAAAUGUCUUACAUUUCCUUUAAAUCUACUAUUAGUGUCAAAAACGCUCUUAUAUUGUGGGAUGGAGGGAGUAUCUUAUUUCUGUAACAUUCUGACCUAUAUAUGAGAAUUAUGUAGCUCCUUUAUUAUGACAGUAAAGAUUCACUAAUUUCUAUUGUACCACACGGUCCAUUUUAUUUCCAGUUGUUGCCACCUCAUCUAGAUACAGCACCCCCUAUUCAGUGAGCUCCUAGGCAUGCUUUGUGUUUUAGAUCAAACUGUUCUUCUGCAACAAAAUUGAAGUGUUGGUCUGGAAAAAAAAUUAAGAAGAAAUGAACUAUAUGCUCAUUUUCUACCAUCUACACUACUAUAGCAAUUGGUACAUGCCAGCGAGCAUAAUUCAGCAUGGGGCACCAUUCUGCUUUUCUUAAGAAACAAAGGGUUCUCCCUGGAGGGUCAUGUAAUCAGUGUGCUAUCUGAGGCCAUGUAUAGAGUUAUAGUUCUGUUUUUCUUGAGAGCUGACCCUGUAAAUUCUAGCUCUGUUUUCUUAGAGCUGACAUGUAAAUUCUUCAAUGUUUAAAUAAAGUUCAGCCUCAGGCCCUUCAAUAUAACACCACUCCCUAGACUAAAAGGUGAUGUUGUGUUUAUAUGAUAAGAAUAAGGUUCUCUUAGGAAUGUCAUUCAAAUAAAAAUAUAGUGUAUAAUUGAGGAAAAAAUUCUAGAAAUUGUACCACCAAAAAGAUUCCAACUGAGAUUUCCAUUACAUCAUCUUUUUUUGUGAAAUUCCAUCACAUCAAAUCUAGAUAAAAAUAUAGAGUGAAAAGGAGAGAAAAAAUUGAAUGCAUCACUAUCUGUUGUUUCUCUAGGAGCAGAAAAGAUCUUUUAAGGAACCGAGUAUCGUGUGAUGCAGCUCGUGCACAUAGAUGCUGAGGUAAGCGCCAUGGUAGUUUGAUGCUGAGGUAAAGUUACCGUGCGAGCCUAUUGUGUCUGACGGCAGUGGUUCGGGUGCGCAGACUUAGUAAGCGCCAUAACUUUUUUUUGAAGGAUAGUUUCUCAUAGGACGUAACUUAGUGGCAUGCAUAAUGUAAGACUACCUCUCUCCCUUUUAUGCGGCUAACGAAUGGUUUCCUUCCUCCCUAUAGUAAUCUUACCUCAAGUGUUUUUGUUUCUUACGUUUCAAAAUUCUGGACGUGGGAUAGGCUGGGGUGAGGAAUAAGAAUUCCUCACCCAGGAUGACAAAUAGCGCGAUCUUAUAUAUAUAUAUAUAUAUAUAGAAAGAGAAAGUAGCACUAUUUUAAUCUUAAGAUUAGAAUAGUUAUUUGGAUCAUGAUGGCCCUAUAUAGGAGCCGCAGAGGUGUUCCUGAGAUUCUAAAAACAAAAAGCCCACGAACAGGAACUCGAUCCCCAGCCCCGACCCACCUAUCGUCCGUCCCUCACCUCCCACUCUACCCCGACCCACCUACCCAUCGAAGAUCCCGGAGCCACCCGUCACCGGGGACCACCUGCACGCCGCCGACUGGAAUCCUGCGCGCUGCCGCCCACCAAGAACCUCGUGCGCCGCCGCCAGUACCAGCACCCUCUCAUUCCUCCCCACGAUUCGUCCCCCGGCUCCCUCCAAUCCAGCGCGCCGCCGGCCUCCAUCCGCCAGCUUCCACAGGGCGGCGGCGGCGGCGGCCUCCCCGUCCCCUGGAUCCACAGCGGCGGCCUCAUUCCCACUGGAUCCACGGCGGACACAGCCUCCUCUGCUUCCAACAUGGUGACGCCCUCCCUCCCGCGAGUUGCUGGCAAACCACUCGUCGUCACCUGCUGCUGCUCCUGGGUGGUGGUGCGGUCUCCCUGCUUGGUCGUGGUAGGGAGCCUACUGGAUGGCUCGCGCGCCUCCCCAACUGCAGUGUCAAGGCCGUUCAACACGGCAACCCAAGGUCGUUCAACGUCACAACCCAAUGCCAUUAAACUCCCAUGACGUCCCUCUUCUCUGACUCUGCCGAGGACUGGAGUGCAGCGCCACUGCCUCUGGUGCUUUUCCGUCUCCUCUGAAUCCCACUUUGUUCAUGUAUAUAUGUGAAUGAAGCUUCACUGUAUUCAUCUUGAACUGUUGCUUACUUUCUAUCAAAGGAGUGAAAACAUAGCAAGGUAGAGCAUGUGGUUGUUUGAUCAACUUUAAUUCUUCAUGGCCAUAUGCUUGGUCACUAGCCUGUAGUGGUCCAGUUAUGUUUGGACUUCAUAUACAACCGUCUGUCUUGUUUCCCUCUCCACUUUCAGGUUAAAAAAUGAGUUUUUGAUGGCUCCAUCGAAAAAUGUGCACUUGCACUGGAAAUAUAGGAGACUGGUGAUUUGUGGAACUUGAGCUAUAGAGAAUUGAGGUACUACUUUGUUUCUUGGAUGGUUACUAAAAACUCAACCUGCAUUACAAAAAUUAGGUACCAGAAAUGAUGAAAUUGAUUUUGUUAGAGCAAUUAUGCAAAAGCAAACUUUCAUUCAUGUUCCUAAAUGACAUACCUUAAUUUAUCCAAUCUUUCUUUGCUAACAUCAUUACUUUUUCUUCGUGGCAUCCCCCAAACGAGCCGCCCCAUCCGCCGCCGCUACAAGCAACCCUGGGAUUGCGACGACCUCAGCCAUGAGAUGCGGUGCUAGAAGUGCAUGGUAUGGCUGCCAUCGUCUGCUGCUAGCUACCGUUGCCUCUGCGGUCCGCUGCUAGCUGCCGCUGUAGUCCGCUGCUAGCUUCGCUGCAGUCCACCGCUAGCUCAUGCGGGGAGGUGGUGCUGCUCUGACAACUCCUUCCUCGAGCAUAGCCAGUCUCCAGCCACCUCCAACAGCCGCAACCCGCCAGAUCCGACAGAUGCUCAUGCGUGGGAGUGAUGUUACUCCGACGAGCUCCUUCAUCCCCGAGCAAAGCGCGUAGACAAUGGCCUCCUUCCUCUCGUUCCCUCUUCCAUCUGCCAAGCACAAUUCCGGCGAGCUUGUCGACCAGUGAGUCCUAUUGCCGCUGAUGCUACUGUUGAUCACCAUCGCGUGGCUAUAGAGCAUCCAUGGAAGGUCGACUAAAAUUGUCAUCGCAGGUCGAGUAAUAGUGGCAGCGACAACACAGCCACACGUGGCUAAAAAUGCAUGGUGAUAAUUGAAAGUCUAAACGUGAGAGAGUUUUCGGAGCACAUGUUUUCUGUUUGCUGCAAAAACACAAAAAAGUUGGCCAUGUGUGUUGGCCAUAUGCCCGUGAGACUAAAAACGGUUCGCAUUUCAUGUCAGCCAAAAAAGAAAUUGUGGAUGUGUUGUGCGUGUGCGUAUGCGCGCAGGUUACACUGAAUUAAAAAAACUACUUUUUGUCA
Molecule: long non-coding RNA, 6778 nt
Organism: Triticum urartu
Lineage: Eukaryota; Viridiplantae; Streptophyta; Magnoliopsida; Poales; Poaceae
Source: RefSeq, a predicted model, not a curated record